This 557-nucleotide ribosomal RNA is filed under the name uncultured Rhizobium sp. RNAcentral describes it as "bacterial SSU rRNA". It matches the Rfam family "Bacterial small subunit ribosomal RNA", at positions 102 to 694 of the family's 1533-position model. Lineage: Bacteria; Pseudomonadati; Pseudomonadota; Alphaproteobacteria; Hyphomicrobiales; Rhizobiaceae. The record is from RNAcentral.
ACGGGUGAGUAACGCGUGGGAACAUACCCAACUCUACGGAAUAACUCAGGGAAACUUGUGCUAAUACCGUAUACGCCCUUCGGGGGAAGGAUUUAUCGGAGUUGGAUUGGCCCGCGUUGGAUUAGCUAGUUGGUGGGGUAAAGGCCUACCAAGGCGACGAUCCAUAGCUGGUCUGAGAGGAUGAUCAGCCACAUUGGGACUGAGACACGGCCCAAACUCCUACGGGAGGCAGCAGUGGGGAAUAUUGGACAAUGGGCGCAAGCCUGAUCCAGCCAUGCCGCGUGUGUGAUGAAGGCCUUAGGGUUGUAAAGCACUUUCACCGGAGAAGAUAAUGACGGUAUCCGGAGAAGAAGCCCCGGCUAACUUCGUGCCAGCAGCCGCGGUAAUACGAAGGGGGCUAGCGUUGUUCGGAAUUACUGGGCGUAAAGCGCACGUAGGCGGAUCGAUCAGUCAGGGGUGAAAUCCCAGAGCUCAACUCUGGAACUGCCUUUGAUACUGUCGGUCUAGAGUAUGGAAGAGGUGAGUGGAAUUCCGAGUGUAGAGGUGAAAUUCGUAGA